CUUGGUCUAAAGUUGGACGAAAUUCUUACAACUCUAGUAUAGAGAUUUGGUACAUGGGUUUAAGGAAGAAAAGAGAAGAAAGGGUUCUUCUUAUGAUCUCUAAAGUAGAGAUCAAUAUCCUUCUAUCUUCUUCUUUUUCUCUAAGAGUGUCUUGAGAGAAAAAAAAAUUUUUAACUGUCAAGAUGUGAUCUCUGCAAGGGAGCUAGCACCCCGGUGAGAUCAAUAAGCUUGUGAUCAGAUCGAAAUCUCAUAUGGAUAUCCGUAGAGGUC
Molecule: long non-coding RNA, 270 nt
Filed under: Elaeis guineensis (African oil palm)
Lineage: Eukaryota; Viridiplantae; Streptophyta; Magnoliopsida; Arecales; Arecaceae
Description: long non-coding RNA (EGUI_LNC041645)
Source: RNAcentral